This 70-nucleotide transfer RNA is filed under the name Dipodomys ordii (Ord's kangaroo rat). It matches the Rfam family "tRNA". Rfam says of the family: Transfer RNA (tRNA) molecules are approximately 80 nucleotides in length. Their secondary structure includes four short double-helical elements and three loops (D, anti-codon, and T loops). Lineage: Eukaryota; Metazoa; Chordata; Mammalia; Rodentia; Heteromyidae. The record is from Rfam by way of RNAcentral.
GGGAAUGUGACUCAGUGGUAGAGUGCUUGCCUAGUAUGUAUGGAGUCCUGGGUUCAAUUCCUCAGUACCA